GCCCAAACCAGAAACUUGUUUCUGGGGUUGUGGAUAGAUCAUAAAAGAAGAGGUAUCUUAAUCGAAGAGGGCUGGAACGCCCUACCAUAGAAGGUAAUAGUCCUGUAGGUAAAAAGAGAAAACUUCGGGAUCUAAUCCAGAGUACCACGAGACACGUGAAACCUUGUGGGAAGCAGGGAGGACCACCUCCCAAGGCUAAAUACUACCUAGUGACCGAUAGUGAAGCAGUACCGUGAGGGAAAGGUGAAAAGAACC
RNAcentral lists this ribosomal RNA (255 nucleotides) under Clostridium botulinum. Its description in RNAcentral is "partial 23S ribosomal RNA". It matches the Rfam family "Bacterial large subunit ribosomal RNA", at positions 267 to 525 of the family's 2925-position model. Lineage: Bacteria; Bacillati; Bacillota; Clostridia; Eubacteriales; Clostridiaceae. The record is from RNAcentral.